UAGAAACUGCCACCGGGUAGGAAUGUGAUAGAGCAUUCGCUGGCGCAUCGUUAGGUCUUGGAAGAUGCGCACGCGGGUGCUUUUUUGUU
This 89-nucleotide non-coding RNA is filed under the name unclassified sequences. The record is from RNAcentral.